RNAcentral lists this ribosomal RNA (301 nucleotides) under uncultured bacterium. Its description in RNAcentral is "partial 16S ribosomal RNA". It matches the Rfam family "Bacterial small subunit ribosomal RNA", at positions 509 to 807 of the family's 1533-position model. The record is from RNAcentral.
CAGUCGCCACGGUAAUACGGAGGGUGCAAGCGUUAAUCGGAAUUACUGGGCGUAAAGCGUGCGUAGGUGGUGGUUUAAGUCCGUUGUGAAAGCCCUGGGCUCAACCUGGGAAUUGCAGUGGAUACUGGGUCACUAGAGUGUGGUAGAGGAUAGUGGAAUUUCCGGUGUAGCAGUGAAAUGCGUAGAGAUCGGAAGGAACAUCUGUGGCGAAGGCGACUAUCUGGGCCAACACUGACACUGAGGCACGAAAGCGUGGGGAGCAAACAGGAUUAGAUACCCGUGUAGUCCCUGUCUCUUAUAC